AGAGUUUGAUCCUGGCUCAGGUUGAACGCUGGCGGCAUGGCUAAAACAUGCAAGUCGAACGAGAAAGCACUUCGGUGCGAGUACAGUGGCGAAAGGGCGAGUAAUGCGUACCUAACGUACCUCCAGGUGCGGGAUAGCUCGGGGAAACCCGUGGUAAUACUGCAUAACCCCGUCGAGUCAUAUGAUUUGACGGGCAAAGGCUUGCUGCCUGGAGAUCGGGGUGCGUCCUAUCAGCUUGUUGGCAAGGUAAUGGCUUACCAAGGCUAAGACGGGUAGCGGGUGUGAGAGCAUGACCCGCCGCAUCGGGACUGAGACACUGCCCGGACUCCUACGGGAGGCUGCAGCAACGAAUAUUCCGCAAUGCGCGAAAGCGUGACGGAGCAAUGCCGCGUGUGGGAUGAAGCAUCUAGGUGUGUAAACCACUGUCAGGUUUUAGGAAGUUCUGACCAGAACCAAAGGAAGAGCCGGCUAACUCUGUGUCAGCAGCCGCGGUAAU
RNAcentral lists this ribosomal RNA (496 nucleotides) under uncultured Phycisphaerae bacterium. Its description in RNAcentral is "bacterial SSU rRNA". It matches the Rfam family "Bacterial small subunit ribosomal RNA", at positions 8 to 524 of the family's 1533-position model. The record is from RNAcentral. Lineage: Bacteria; Pseudomonadati; Planctomycetota; Phycisphaerae.